UACAGUGGGUUCGGACGACGACGAAGUCAAGCAGCCCCUGUAAUUCUUACAGUUGCCAUCUUACAAAGCUUUAUUACAGACUUUUAGCAUCGUGUCUACGCUACAAAAGAGCGACGCGACGCUACAAAACUUCAACCAAACCAUUAUAAUAUUAGUUGAUUAUAACGGUCGCUUUCUAUUUUUGUCGCGUCGCGUGAGAUAAUUACGUAAUUACGCACUUGUGGCGGUUCCCAGCAGCUUAUACAAAUGCUUUGUACGCUUAUUUGCUUCGACCAACAACUUUAAAUCACGUGAGAACGGGUUUUCGUGAAGUUCAAGAGAUGAUAAAGUUAGAAGCCGGAGAACAUGACAAGAAUCAGUCGAAGUGGAGAUGACAUCCUUUCUGGACAUUUACACAUUUUCUCACAAGGCAUUUGUGCUGUCAGCGCUGGAGGAAAAAGUCACGGACAUCUGCGAAGAGGUUUGCAAAAGAAAGUUCAUCAGACGGAUCUUUCUUAGAAAUACAGACAUUCUGCUUGUAACUUAGGCUGGCACCAAGUCUGAUGACUUUUCCCAGAAGAUUCAGUGAAGACAUAGAGAGAGGGGGCAGAAAGAGAGCCUUCUUGUCCAAUAAGAGGAAAGGGGACUGAAGAAUGUGAAAAGCUCCCAUUCAGGCCGGUUCACAGGGGCUGGGAGCGGCCACAUCCUCAAGAGGGAGGAGGGGUUGCUGCUUUCAAGAGGGUGGGCUAGGGAUCCUGGACAGGGGCCAGAAGCGAUGCAGAGGCUCCUCGGAUGACGCUGGUCCGUGGGAGCGUCCAGUGCCUCCGUCUCUCCUCUGUCCCUAAGGACAUUGACUCUGGACCCCUUGCAUUCUAUUUACUCGCACAAACAAGCUCUCCCCACAGUCCUUCUACCCUCAGAGCCAAACCAGCCGGUAGGCUGCAGGGUGAGGAAUGUGUCUCUAUUAAUAGAGCGGAUAGAUUAUCUCAAAGACUAAUGACUGGCAUGUCCAGAUUCCUGAAAGGCACGGCAGUGACGUACUUUCAUCCACCGGUCUUCAUUCAUUGGCAAUGAUCUCAUUUCCUCCGAUAUUCUAUAAAUUUAACUUGUGCUUCUCUUUUUAAAACAGUUCAAAUUCUAGUUGCACAGCUUUAUCGUCACUCAUUAUGGUUAAUGAAAACAUUUAUAUUUAACAUAGAGCUGGACGAUUAUUUGAAAAGUCAUCGAAAACCUCUAGUUGACGUAACUUUCCCAUGCCGGUUAUUUUGGGGUUUUGAAUCCUGUUACUACUUUCCCAUUAAAAACAUACUACCGUGAAGUUAGUGUUGUACUGACAUGUAUGACCAUUGCUCUCGCGUCUUUUCCAGUGUCUUGCAUGUGAGCGCAGAGUUUAAGAUGUCAUGUCAAGUUAACAGAAUUUAAACUUUAACAUGCAGCAUCACUCAAUGUCAGUUCCAAAACAGUGGACCAAUCAGAAGACGGAGGUAGGGCAAGUGUUGCAAGCUUUAAGUUUACAGUAGCAGGUUGACAUGGCGGAGUAAGCAUUCUGUGCUGCGCUUUUUUUUUUUUGUUCUGUGUGAAUGGCCAGUAAGAAGCUAGCAGAAAUACUACAACGCUAUCUCAUAACCAAUUUGUAUGUAUUUUAUGAGGUGGCUAAUUCAUACGAAUACGUACCACCUCACUUGUACGGUUUUGUACGAUUUGUCUAGACCCCAGUAAUGGGUAGGUUUAGGGGCGGGGUUAGGGGUAGCUCAUUCGUACGAAUUCAUACAAAAUGUAAAAUACGUAUGAUGUGAGGUCAUAUGAAUUCGUACGAAUUAGCCACUUUGUAAAAUAUGUACGAAUUGCCAUGGGAUUGGGUUGGGCAUAUCGUGACAGGACUAAAUCGCUGAGAGGAAGAUCGCAUGCAACAGCAAUGAUGACUCAGAUUCACAUCUAUAACUAUGAGAGCAAAAUAAUAAUAAUACAAUUUUAAAAAUUAAAAUAAUUGGUUAUUAAUCAUAAUCGAGGUAAAAUAUUCAAUUAAUCAAGGUUUUGAUUUUGGGUCAUAUCGCCCAGCCCUAAAUUAAUGUUUAUUCAGUUAGCAGACGUUUUUAAGCGACUUAGGAAAUAAAAAGCAAGCAAUAAAGAAAAUUAAAACAACUUCAGUAAAAAUAAAAUCUCAUAUAAAUGGGAAAAUAUAAAAUGAUGACUAAUUAAUUUUAGUUUUUAUAUAUGUGUAUUAUAUGACAUUAAAACAAAUAAUAACAAUGCAUGAGAUGGUGCUAAAAUAUUUUAACAAUGUUUGUAUUUUUUUUUAUUUAUUUAUUUUUAAUUAUACCAGUUAGCACAUUUACUUGUGGUACCCCUAAAAAAAAAAAAAAUCAAACUAUAACUAAAAAGGUAAACUCAAAACUAAAAAACUAAAAUAACUAAAUUACUCAUUAACUAAUUAACUCAAAUAAAAUGAACUAAAAUGAACUCAAAUAAAAUACAUUGGAGGGAAAAAAAGUAUAUAUUUCAGUAAUAUAAUAAUAUUCUGCUUAACCACACUUGUAUUUGCAUUGAUUGUAAUGUGACAUUUAGGUAUUCUUGGGUCAAGAAAUUUUUUCCAAUCCAAACCAUGGCCAGAUCUCUCCAUCUUGGGAACUUGGGAACCCAUAUGAGCUUCAGGGAGUGUAAACAUCCUACACUCUCAGCUGGAGCCCAGCCCGAGGCCGGGAGUGGGAUGUUUGCGCUCUAUGGCUCAGGAACUCCACGCUCACUAUGGCGGGGAAAAAGCAUAUACAGAAAAAGUCGUCUAAAUAAUUUAAUCAUCUAUUGAGUCACAGUAGACCUGAAAUUACACCUGACCACUCGGUGGGAAUACACACUGGAACUGCAAUCACUGGAGUAGGUAGCAAUCACCUAAUUUUAGGAUCUAUCUAUCUAUCUAUCUACUGCUAUAGUGUCUAUCUUUCCAUAUGUUCUUUUAAACUAUUUUUUAAACUGUCCAGUCAACAUCUUUAGCAGUUGUAUACAUUUGUAAAAGAUGCACGGCCCUGUUUAUUAUAAAUGUCUAUUCACUGUAUAGUUUAUGUAAAGUAUGUUAAAAAGCUCAGGAUAAAAGAAGACGUCUACUUCCUGACUAGAUCGAAGUGAACAGAUUUUGAAGUGGAUACGAGAGCUUUGUAACGCACACAGGAAGUGAACUCCAUUGUGAGCACUGGAAGGGCUCUGAGGGUGAGUGGCCUGUCAUUAAGCUGUUCAGGCUGAACUCUAGGUCUCUUUGAAGCUUUCUGACCCCACAGGGUGGGACAGUUCUGUUCAACUGCAUGCACCCCCCACCCAGACAGAGCUGCCGAUGGAAUUGCCUGAGAGGAAGUGACUAUUUAUACCCACUAAGGAACAGAGAGAGGCACCCUUCCGAUGGGCGUCUCUCCUCUUGUUUCCUUUGACAAAUAUGUUAGCACUGCUCUCAUGAAAAGUAAGCCCAACUCCACAGAGAUAUGCACAACAUCCAGUGCUCUCAAUGGUAUUUGUGUACACGCCUAACCGUUUUUUUGGUUACCAUUCUCUCCUACUGCAGUGACCUUUACCCACUUUUGCUUGGUGAUGUCAUAGCUUAAGCAUCUCUUAUAUGCAGCCACUAGGUGGCAGACUAACUCCAGAAAAUUGCUACAAGGUUUCAGACUUUGCUUGGAAAGGAAGUAUACAAAAAUGCUUCUGUUGAUUGGCCAUCUUUUUGAAAAAAAAAGUAAAAUUAUCCACUACAAAUCUUGUAAACAUCUUCUACUAACGACACCAAACCAGAAAGUCUUUAUUGUUUAUUUUACUCGUAUUACAUACACUGCCAUUCAAAAGGUUGGGAUCAGUAAGAUUUUUAAUGCUUUUUAAAGCUCUUAUGCUCAUCAAAGUUCCGUUUAUGUGAUCAAAAAAAAAGAAAAAAGUAAUAUGAAAUAUUGCUAUUCAAAAUAAAAAAAAAUAUAUAUUUAUUUCUGUGAUGCCAAGCUGAAAUUUCAUCAGCCUUUACUCUAGUGUUGAGUGUCAUGAUCCUUCAGAAAUUAUUCUAAUAUGCUAAUUUAUUACUAAUGCUGGAAACAGUUGUGCUGCUUAAUUUGUUUUUUGUUUUUUUUUGGAACCUGUGAUACUUUUUCAGGAUUCUUUGAUGAAUAAAAGGUUCAAAAGAACAGCAUUUAUUGAAAAUAUACAUCUUUUCUAACAAUAUAAGUCUUUACUAUCACUUUUUUUAUCAAUUUAACACAUCCUUGCUGAAUAAAAGUUUUAAUUUCUUUCGAACAAAGAAAGAAGGAAAAAAUUUACUGACCCCAAACUUUGAACGUUAGUGUAUAUUGUUACAAAAUAUUUCUAUUUUAAAUAAAUAAAAAGAAUAAAUUCUUUUUAACAUUUUAUUCAUCAAAGAAUCCUGACAAAAGUAUCACAGGUUCCAUAAAAAAUAUUAAGCAGCACAACUGUUUGCAACAUUAAUAAUAAAUCAGCAUAUUAUAAUGAUUCCUAGCUGGUUCGUCAUCAUCCGCAGGAAUAAAUUCUAUUUUAAAAUAUAUUAAAAUAGAAAACCACUGUUUUAAAUUGCAAUAAUAUUUCACAAUAUUACUGUUUUUUUUUCUGUAUUUUUAAUCAAAUAAAUGCAGCCUUGAUAAGCAGAAAACUCUUUUUUUAAAAACAUUAAAAAUCUUACUAAUCCCAAAUUUUUGAAUGGCAAUGUUUAAAUUAUUCUGCUUGUCACACUAAUUUUUGUUUUAUUUAAAAAUAAAAAAUAAAAAUCUCUCAUUAAUUGUGACUCUUUUGAACUGCUAAAAUAUAUAAAUACUUAGCAAAUUUUCUUGCACCAUUUUUACACCUUUCCAAGCAAUCACUGUUGUACUUUUCCUAAAACCAAAGAAAAAAUUUUUUUAGUAAUGUUCUGACCUCAUUCACCACAGAGUGCAUUUCUAGUCAUACUGAGUGGGAAAAAACAGCAUGAAAUGUUAAAAUCAACUGACAGCCUCUGAUCAAGCUUUUCCUGUCAACUGGAGGAGUCGAAACUACUGAAGUAUGACAACAAAGGCAUCAUUUAUUAUUAGUUUCACUUUUUCUCUUACUGCCGUACUCUUUGAACUGACUCAGCUAAUUCUUCUUAUGAUGCCGGAGCUCUUUUCAUCUAACUGCAAGAGCUACUGAAUUUACACCCACUUCUUUUCAAAUGUUUCAAACAAUAAUCUCACCCCACAGGUGGCACAGCAACAGGAAGGUGAAACAAGAAGUUGGUAUGUAUGUAUGUUAUGUGUAGAGUAAAAACAACAUCAUCAUAGUAAACAAUGCAUUGUCUGCAAUAAACACAUCAGGAGAAAUGCUGUGAAUGUUGUUCCUCGUUUGUUUGUUUAAUAAACCAUAUGCAACUGACA
This is a long non-coding RNA of Labeo rohita (rohu), 5342 nucleotides long. RefSeq lists it as uncharacterized. The transcript is spliced from 2 exons. The record is from RefSeq and is a predicted model, not a curated record. NCBI's taxonomy places the organism in Eukaryota, Metazoa, Chordata, Actinopteri, Cypriniformes, Cyprinidae.